UAUUUGAUUACAUACCUAUUAUUUUUUUUUAUUGUUUUUAUAUCAUGUCAUUGGAUUUGCCAUAUUGGAAAGAAGUUGUGGUUGUUAAUUUGUUAUUGGGUUACUUUAUUGAUAUUUGUCACAGGUACCUUAAAUACUUUAUAUUAAUUCGGAUUCUUACUUCCUCCACAGGAUGAUUCUGGAAUGAAUUUGGAAUUUUGAUUUAUAAAUGAAUUCUUGAGUCCUUCAUAUUUCUUCUUAUGAACUAGUCUGUUAAUGCUCAAAGUUGGUGAAUACGUGGGUUCGAAGUUCAGCAACUGAUCACUGCUAUCCGAUUUCGUAAUCCAUGUCUUUCUUGUCAGAGUAGGCAGAUGUUUAUCCAUGAUAAUAUUUCUGGUUGGGAAAUGGUGUACAACACUUCCUAACCAUUCUUGUGCAAUUGUUCCAAAUAUUCCAGGCACAUUUUCACACGAUAAUAGGGAAGUCUAGUUUGCUUAUUUUAUGUCUCUUAGUUCAUAGUAUAUAGAUGCUUGACUUUCCAUAGACGUAGAGUCGUAAUGUUAGUGAUUAACCCACUGGGACAAAUUAUUGAUUUUCUUUUUAGUAGAUUCCCUCUUCUUUCCUUAGGCAUUAAUUGUUGCUUAGAUUCAGGAAUAUCUCCUGGAUAAUCCUAUGUAUGUUCACAUGAAUAUACAGUCUUAUGAAAGAUUGGGAGCUCGUUCCCGUCAUAUUUUGUAUUUACCAUGGAGUCAUAGAACUUAUAAGUUCAUCCUUUAUUUUUACUAUUUAGUUUCGAUAGGCUCAUAUUACCGGAUGAGGGUAGAUCUAGAGCUAAUUUAGUUAGUUAUUUAGUAUUAGUGAGAAUUGGUCCAUAAAUCUUCCUGAUCGUUCUUCUUUGGAUAUGCUCCUAUAAAUCUGGUGUCCAUUGCUAGUCCGAUUUUGGAUUAAGUGUCCGAUUCUUCACUUAUUUUGUUUAUUUGGUUGUAUAGGUUCGUAUUACCGGAUGUGGGUGUACGUAGACCUAAUUUAUUUAUAUGAUUUAGUAUGGAUGUGAAUUGGUCCAUAAAUCUUCCUGGUCGUUCUUCAUUGGAUAUGCUUUUGUGAAUCUGUUGUCCAUUGAUAGUCUGACUUUGGAUUGAGUGUCUGAUUCCACAUUUAUUUUGGUUAAUGUGUUUGCAUUCCUUUGGUAUGUUCACUAUUUAUAUUAGUUGGUAUUGGUGAAAAUUAUUCUAUAAAUAUUCCUAGUUGUUCUUCUCUGGAUAUGCUAUUACGAAUCUGGUGUCCAUUGCUAGUCCAAUUUAGGAUUGAGUGUUUGAUUCUUCACUUAUUAUAGUUAUUGAUUUCAUUGGUGACUUUAGUAUAUGUACUUGCGUUAUGGUAUGAAUUGGCUCUCACCUUUGCCUGGUUGUUCGUCCUUGGAUAUACUCCUUAUAAAUCUGAUGUCCAUGGAUAGUUCAACUUUGGAUUUACUGCCAAUUCGACACUUAUUUGUCAUUAUAAAUUAUGUCUCAUCUUUAGCACUUUUACUAGGACUUCGGGUCAUAUUUUGCAAUUUCCGUUAUUUGCUGCAGUGACCAUCCUACUUUCCCUUGAUUAUUAGUGGUGAUUAUUUGUAAUCUUGCGAAUCAACGGGGAAUGAUACACUAAGCACUACUACUCUAGUUUAAUAUUUUGAGAAAAAAAAAAAAAAAAAAAAUUUUUUUAAAUAAAAUUUUUUUUCUGGUGGUUGAAAGGGAAUGUGACGUUCCGCCCCUUAUAGAAUCGAUUAUUGAUGGGAAGAUAUUAUUUAACUAUCCAAAAUAUUAUUUAAUUAUUUUCAGAAUUAUUUUCUUUCAAUGUUUAUUCAAAUAGAACUUAAACCCAUCUCAGAAUUUUUAAAUGCUUGAUGACGUCACAUUUAAAACGUGGCAACAUUGGUUUCCCCACUUUGACAGCCAAUGCUUAGUAGAGGGGUACGAAGGAUUCAGCUGUGAACGUGAGCCUUGGAUUGCCAUUGUUUCUCGAGUGUUCGGUCUGAAUCGUAGUGUGCGGGGUCAUUAGACUCAAUUAUUCACCUCUAAUUCUCAGUUCCAAAUUGAUUAAAUAUUACAAUAAAAGUAUAGUGAAGUUAUCCAGCAGCAGUGGAUUUGAAGAAUUUUAGAGCAUACUAUAUCCAAUGAGUUCUACCCCGCACCUACCAUGAAAUCUUAAAGCCACCCUACAACAACACCAAGGCCAGACCACACAGAGAGAAACAAUCAAUAGGCGACCAGCCUGGAUUAUUUCCACAUUUUCUUUUUUUGAGUACCUCCAGCUGCUUUCCAACAGUUUUGAGUACCUUCAGCUGCUUUCUACCAGUCUUCCUCUCCUGUACCUCCAGCAGGACAGCUGCUAGCGAGAGUUAGCACCCUUGGGUGCUCAUUACAUCAACUUCAAGAUUAGGAAAGAGUGGUUUGUUUGGGAACAUUUACUGUGCUCUUAUUAAAGACAGACUGGUUUUGUGAUAUUUAGUACAUUUUUUUUUAUAGUUCAAUUGCACACACAUUUUUCCUGCUUUAUAUUUUUUAUAGGUUUUUUUUUCUUUACAACAUAAUAUUUAAUUGAUAGCGUUCCCCAACACUCUGCAAUCUAUAAAGGUAUAAAUUUCUGAGCUCAGAUAUUUUCCCUGAUAAUAGUAGUCGGUACUCUUAUCUUGAUUAUUUUUAGGCUGUGUUCCACUUUUGUAUAAUUAUUUAAACUCAUUCCAUUAUUUUAGUAUAUGUUUAAUUAAAUUUUUAAAAAUUAACUUCACAUAUUAGUCAAAAUUGUAAUUAUUAACUUUAUUUAACUUGAACUUAUUAACUUUACUUAACUUUAACUUAUUAACUUUAUUUAACUUUAACCUUAAUUUAUUAAAUUCAUAUGAACUUCUGGAUUCUAAUCCCUCAGAUUAGUUUUUGGUUUCACUUGUUAUUAUUACUAUUAUAAACCACGAGUUAGGAAAAGGAUCUGUGUAUCCACUCGUAGGUUUAUUUAUUCAAUAAGGCUUGUGCCUGUCCCACUCACAGUGAGGUAUUUAUAUGUUAUAUAUAGUAUCAGGUAGUAUUUAAUUAAGGUGUACGUAUUAUAAACGUACAAUUAUUAUUUGGUGAGGGUUCUACUAACCUAGUUGUAAGUUGUACUUCCUGUAUUAGAGGUACCCGUAGUCAGUUUUUCUAACCUUAUAAAGAGUAUUCUUAGAUCAUAGUUGUAUGAUGAUUUUGUAAUUGACUUUCACUAGUAUCACUUUUUCCUGUCAUGUUAGAGUUACACACUAGUUACUUGUCCUAACUCAGAGAUUGUUAAAAAGAUCUAGUAGUUACAUUCAAUAAAUAUACAUUUAUUGUGA
This 3325-nucleotide long non-coding RNA is filed under the name Diabrotica virgifera virgifera (western corn rootworm). Its description in RNAcentral is "uncharacterized LOC126887540". The record is from RNAcentral. Lineage: Eukaryota; Metazoa; Arthropoda; Insecta; Coleoptera; Chrysomelidae.